UUAAAUAUUUUUUUUUCUUCUCUUAAAGCUGGUGAAGUGCAGGAACCGUGGGAGGGUCAAGUUCAUGCCGGCUCCUUUCUUUUGAUUGCAGCAGAAGUAUAUGCUCACCUAUCUGUGAAAUUAGCUCGGCAGCCCUGGACAAGUGCCUCUUGCAAAAGCAGUCCCACAACUGUACCAAGUGCUUAGCUGUGCCAGUCGUUGGUCACAGGCAAAGGAACGAUGCUAUUUGGAGCGAAGCUGAGUGCUGGAGGAGUCUGAGUGGUGACCCUGAACCCCUAAGCCUUAUCCGGGGAUUUCUCAGCAUCGUAGGCCUGGUUUAUUAAGACAAAAGAAGCAACUUAGAAUUAGCAGAAGGACACAAAAUGGCUUACACAUUUGCUUUUACUUUGUCAGUAAGUAUAUUUUAUUUUUACACCUCCCGUGCCCUAAUAUUGGUAACUUUGUGUAUUAAUAUAU
RNAcentral lists this long non-coding RNA (456 nucleotides) under Anser brachyrhynchus (Pink-footed goose). Its description in RNAcentral is "lncRNA (ENSABRG00000008280.1)". Lineage: Eukaryota; Metazoa; Chordata; Aves; Anseriformes; Anatidae. The record is from RNAcentral.